This is a long non-coding RNA of Vicia villosa (hairy vetch), 1571 nucleotides long. RefSeq lists it as uncharacterized. Lineage: Eukaryota; Viridiplantae; Streptophyta; Magnoliopsida; Fabales; Fabaceae. The record is from RefSeq and is a predicted model, not a curated record. The transcript has 6 exons.
UCGUGUUUCAAUCUAAAUUCUAAAGCCCUGUUUCUCUCUUCUCUUGUCGGGAAUCGCCUCCAUCCACAUGAAGGUUGCACUGAAUCUCUCUCUAUCCACCCUUGCGAGUCCUCUCCGUCGAAUGCUCCUGCAUCUUCGUGUAUCAUUGCCGUUUUGGUUCGAGUUUGGAGGUUUCAACUCAGUUUAGAGUUUGGAUUCGAGCAGCUUUUUCACAGUUUGAUUGUGAUUCGAUUUUGGUGAAGAGUUUGAAUUAAAAUUAACACGAGUAUACAACUUCAUAAACCUAAAUUGGAUGAGCACUUACCAGUUGAAAUGAAGAAAAAUGCGGAUUUCGUUCUCGCUCGCAAGGUGUUCGAUGAAAUGUCCCAACCGGAUUAUUUCUUUCUCGCUUGCUCAUAUUGCGGCACUAGAGGUUGAUCCUCCAGGAUGCGCUUUUAAUCCCACGCAUGAAAGUCAUCAGAAUCUUUCAGACGAAGGACUUGAAUGUAUUUCGAAAUGCAAGAACCUUGUAUCCCUCAAUCUGACUUGGUGUGUACGUGUGACCGAUAAGGGAGUUAUAGCUGUUGCUCAGAGUUGCACCUCUCUUGAAUUUGGUUUGUGGUUUGAGCUUUGUUUCUGCAGGUAACAUUAGGGCUGAGAUAGUUAAAUUUCUUCUUGAGUGGUAAGGAUCAGAGAGAGUUGAGAUGGACGCUACGACGACAUGCAGGCUGGCUGUUGUAUCAAGAUUAAGGGUUGAAGGGAAUUCUGCCAGUAUGAAUAUUACUGCAACUCAGGUAAAAGUCCAUUCAUAGUUAUCAUAGUUCGCUCUAGCAAUAAUAGUUUACUUGAGCAUAACUAAGAAAAUCAAUUCUUAAUCUUAUGACCGAUGCAAUUUGGAAACUGGGGAUGGAGGGCUCCAAGUUCUGUGAGCUUUGACGGGGUACAUACAGAGUCAAAAUGAAACAGCUAUCAACAUGGGAGCAGAAUGGUUUGAAAAUGUCUUUUGGAAUAUGAUGUAUUCUAUAUAUGAAAACUAGAAUGAAAGUGUUGGUUUAAUAGUAUAUCUAACACCUAUACUAAUUCUGAAGUUUCAUUAAAUCCACAUUUCAUUCUCUUAAUAAAAACUUGUGUAGAGUUUAUAAUAAAAGUCAUAAUCCAUUCUCUCUUAGACUUUGUUCUCCCCAUUCAGGAGUUUAUAAUGUAUGUUUUAUGUUUUAUGUAUAUCUUAUUUCUUUAUUCUUUUUUCUUCAAAAUCUUAUUUCUCCUUAGCGUAAUAUUACAAUAAGAAGUCAUAUGGAUUGUUGAAUUUACAGAAGUUCAUGCCGCGGUGGACAUCAUAGGGGAAAAGUGAUUUCAUCUACGGUUUUGCCAGAUGUUCAGCCUCCCAUGGAUGCUGUGGAGUAUGCUGAAUGUGAAGCUGUUGUGAAGGACUUUCCUCCGUUUCAAGAGGCAAUGAAGAAGAGAGGAAUUGAAGAUAUGGAUCUUGUGAUGGUUGAUCCUUGGUUAGUUAGUUACUACAUCAAGAUAAUUAAUUUCAUUGACAUGAUACAAUUUAUUUGAUCCAUUCAUUUCACUAAUAAUUAAUUAUAAUU